This is a long non-coding RNA of Ictalurus punctatus (channel catfish), 2665 nucleotides long. Lineage: Eukaryota; Metazoa; Chordata; Actinopteri; Siluriformes; Ictaluridae. The record is from Ensembl.
CCCGAAGGCAUUUAUAACUGUCAACCUUUAUUUCGGAUGAAACCUAUUGUUAGUAUACCUGCUGUAAUUUGACAGAAUAGCACACAUUAGCAUGGAAUGCUGGGGUUAAGGUUAACGCAUGUACUCUCUUGGGAGAUUAGCUGCAUGGAAAGGCGGCAUAUCGGGAUACAAGGUUGGUAUCCAGGUUCGUGAAAGCUGGCGCAGUUUACACAUGGCUGAAGACGGGACCUGAAGCCAACAUUCCAGUUUCCUUUUCAAGCCCUUCUAACAAAACUUGACUCUUACUAACCCAUUCAGUCUCCUCCCUCCUACAGUCAGCCUUUUUUCUAACGUCAGAUUAAAGCUAUCGACCUCACGAGCUUUGGUUUCUCUCAGGCGAGCUUGUUACAAUCCAUUACUGACGUAUCCCGAACUUCCAAACCUUUACGGUUUUCUGCCAGUCUUCUUCCUGCUAGUCCAGGCCAUCCCUCCACAUUCUGGACACUUUUGCUAGAAAAUUAGCCUCUGUGCUCUUUACACCGAGGCAUUCAGCUCCUUCAUUUUUCCCUUUUCUUAGGCCACCUCCCUCAGCAAGGUUCUCCUGAGACAUAUCCCAGAUUAAACCACAAGGAACAUUAAUCAUUAAUCGACUGACCUGGUAAUAGUCGUCACACGUAAUUAACUGAAAGGUAAAUGAGCUUUGGAUGCAUAUUAAGCACAAAGGUGUUGUUCAUACACAGCACGUACUUUGCUAUCGUGGAAGUGGAACUGUGAACAAACCGAGGAUAAGUGUGCGGUGUGUCUGUAGUGUCACGGUUAGGAUGCAUGAUGGGAUGGGUGGCCUGAAACCAUUACCCAGUUAUCAGGGUCACAGCUUUUACCUCUGACUGUUCCAAAGCACUGACACUGGAGACUCCUUCCAAUACACGUUAAAUAAACCUCCUCACAAAAAAUAUCAACACGUUUUUGAAUUCCUUUAUUAUUAGUCGCACAUCCACCAUACUAGUCCCCGUGAAUGAGCCGUUACUAUAGAAACGAUAAGGUAUUAGAACGAGCGCAUUAAUAUAUUAAAACCUGUGAUUUGCAGCUGCAUUAGUGUCAGAGCUGCUGUCCUAGAAAAUUCAUCAAGACCAAUCAACAGAAUUCAACGUUACACACUGUUUGGGAAUGCGAUAGCUUCUGAAACGUAAAAACCCCAGCAGACAUAACGACUGAUAUUAUACCCAUUCGUCCCAUCCGCACUCGUUUCCUUCCAGCUGCUACUCCAUUUUGCUUCUAUUUCCGUUUCUCAUCAAGCCUCUCUCGGGCUCCUGCGUAAAAACGUGGCUUACGGACAACAAAAACAACAAACGCAACCGUUUCCCCGGGCACACACCUGAGGUAACAGAAUGGAAAUGUCGACCUGAACUAUCUUCAAAACUACUAUCUGGGUGAAAAGCAUUGAAAAUGGUUCAACCCGAGAUAAAAACGUAUUUGAGUCAAGCCAUGGUCGUGCUUUGCUCCGGUGUACUGGUGCGUGUGUGGAGCAACUGGCAACGUGUGCAUCUGUGCUGUUUAACAUUUACGGAAGGAGUCUCCAGCGUCAGCGAUUUGGAACGGUCUGAGGUAAAAGUGUAACAGCGGAGUUGACGGUUUACGUUUUUCCCACGUUUUUUGUUUUGUCAGUUCGAACUUGUUAACGUUAAGAGAGACUUUUGUCUGUAGCUGCUAUAACGUAAGUGACAACAGGAACGAGCUCGCUUCGUGGACGUUCCAUAACGUUAACCGUCGCCGUGAACUGACCAAAAAAAAAAAAAAAGUGUGAUGUUUCGUUUUUUAAGAAUAUAAACAAAUAAAUAAAUAAAUCCACCUGUGUGCGGAUAUAUCGUGUUUUUUUCCUCCGGUACAUGCGCCGGAGUGUGAACCGUGUGUAUGGUGCAGUAGCAAGCCGCUGGAGAAGAGGACUCCGGCGUGUGCGCGCGUGUGUGUGUGUGUGGAACACGACCUUUUCCAAACCUCGUCUGCGAAAGGUUGCUCUGCAGCAGAUCUUUUGUUCACGCCGCACGAAGACUAUUUUCGGGUUUGUAAUUGGGCCCGGAGAAACCCAGCGAUGCUCCCGGUGACAGACCGCCGUCCACAUCGAACACGUGAACAUGAAAAACGGAGAGAGAGAGAGAGAGAGAGAGAGAGAGAGAGAGAGACGCCACCAGCGAGAGAGAGAGAGAAAGAGAGAGACAGUGAGAGAGAGACAUCGAGAGAGAGAGACAGUGAGAGAGAGAGAUACAUUGAGAGAGACAGCGUGAGAGAGAGAGAGACAGUGAGCGAGAGAGAGACAACCGAGAGAGAGAGAGAGAGACAUCGAGAGAGAGAGAGACAUUGAGAGAGAGACAUCAAGAGAGGAGAGAUAGACAUCAAAAGAGAGACAUCGAGAGAGAGAGAGACAUUGAGAGAGAGACACUGAGAGAGAGAGAGACAUUGAGAGAGACAUUGAGAGAGAGAGAGAGAGACAUCAAGAUAGAGAGAGAGAUAGACAUCGAGAGAGAGAGAGAUUGAGAGAGAGACAUCGAGAGAGAGAUCGAGAGAGAGACAUCAAGAGAGAGAGAGAGACAUCGGGAGAGAGAGACAUCGAGAGAGAGAUCGAGAGAGAGACAUCGAGAGAGAGACAAUCGAGAGAGAGACAUCGAGAGAGAGAGACAUCGAGAGAGAG